GAUGAACGCUGGCGGCGUGCCUAAUACAUGCAAGUCGAGCGAACAGACGAGGAGCUCGCUCCUCUGACGUUAGCGGCGGACGGGUGAGUAACACGUGGAUAACCUACCUAUAAGACUGGGAUAACUUCGGGAAACCGGAGCUAAUACCGGAUAAUAUAUUGAACCGCAUGGUUCAAUAGUGAAAGACGGUUUUGCUGUCACUUAUAGAUGGAUCCGCGCCGCAUUAGCUAGUUGGUAAGGUAACGGCUUACCAAGGCGACGAUGCGUAGCCGACCUGAGAGGGUGAUCGGCCACACUGGAACUGAGACACGGUCCAGACUCCUACGGGAGGCAGCAGUAGGGAAUCUUCCGCAAUGGGCGAAAGCCUGACGGAGCAACGCCGCGUGAGUGAUGAAGGUCUUCGGAUCGUAAAACUCUGUUAUUAGGGAAGAACAAAUGUGUAAGUAACUAUGCACGUCGUGACGGUACCUAAUCAGAAAGCCACGGCUAACUACG
Molecule: ribosomal RNA, 495 nt
Filed under: uncultured bacterium
Lineage: Bacteria
Description: partial 16S ribosomal RNA
Rfam family: Bacterial small subunit ribosomal RNA
Source: RNAcentral